AUCAACUAUAGCUUUACAAAAAAGACACUUCUUUUCAAGGACUAUAGAGCUCCUGCAGAUGAUGUCAUAUAUGCUGGUCACGUGACGAGAUACGACAGGGGCAGCCAUUUUGGCAGUCAUCGCGGCAGUAAAUUGACAGGCACUGGCAGACUGUCAAGGAUGGUGGAUAACUGCUGUGCACCAGGUUGCACAAAUAGGCGUGGGAAAAAGAAAGGUGUAUCGUAUUAUCGCAUUCCUAAAGACGCGGAGAGGAGGGAGAAGUGGAUUGGAGCGAUUAAAAGAGCCAGGAGCCUUCAGAAAAAGACUGAAAGAUGGGACCCCCCGGCCGUUGGCUUUCGCUUAUGCAGUGAUCACUUCAUAUCAGGGAGAAAGAGUGAUAAUCCGUUGAGUCCGGAUUUUAUCCCCUCAAUUUUCGAUUACCUUCCAUCUCCAGAGAAGAGGAGACAUAAAACGAGACUGGAGGUUUUUAACAGAAGGCAGAAGGCUAAACUGCACAAAGUAGAGCAGGCAAAGAUAUCUGCAGAAGCCAUCCGUCAAAGGACAUCAACUGAUGCAGCCCCAGAAGACCAUAUCACAGAGCCUUUGAAGGAGCCCCCCAUCACAGAUCCGUUGGAAGACUCAGCCGAUGAUCUUGUCCAGCCUGAACCAGUAACACCACCAUGCACCUCUGAAACCUGCUGUACCCGCAUCCAGAGUCUUGAGCAAGAAUGCCAAGCUCUAAGGGCUGAAAAUGUGUUGUUAAGGGAAAAGAUUAAUAGGAAGACCCUGACAGAGAUUAGUUUAAAUAACAAUGAUAAAAAGGUGAAUGUCCUCACUGGGCUGGCAACCUAUGCAUGUCUCAUGACCAUUUUUCAAUAUCUGGCUCCAUUUCUCAAAGUUAAAUCAUCAAUAACAUGUUUUCAACAAUACAUGUUGACUUUGAUGAAGCUUCGAAUGAACUUAACAUUUGACUUUUUGGGUUUUUAUUUUGGCAUCGACCCAACUACUGUCUCCAGGCACUUCAAAAACUGUGUUAAUUUGAUGUAUUGUAGACUGGUGCCAAGCCUAGUGGUGUGGCCUGAAAGAGAAUCUUUAAGAACAUCUCUUCCAUAUGUAUUUAGAAAUGGUGACUACGAGAAGACUGUUUGUAUCAUUGAUUGCUUUGAAAUAUUUCUAGAGAAACCAAGUAGAUUGCGACCCAGUGCGCAGUGUUACUCAAGAUACAAAUCACAUCACACCAUGAAAUAUUUAAUUGCCAUUUGCCCUCAAGGUUCAAUUUGUUUCAUUUCUACUGGAUGGGGAGGUCGCACCAGUGAUAAGUUCAUUACAGAACACAGUACUUUUUUACCUAAUAUUCUCCCAGGGGAUGUUGUUUUGGCAGACAGGGGGUUUCUGGUGAAAGAGUCUGUUGAAAGGUGUCAGGCUGAAUUAAAAAUUCCAGCAUUUACUCGUGGAAAAACACAGUUAGAUCCUGCUGACAUAGAGAAUACAAGAUCUCUAGCCUCUUUAAGGAUUCACAUCGAAAGAGUCAUAGGAGUACUUCGUCAGAAAUAUACUAUCUUACAAAGCACUGUGCCAAUAACUUUCACAGACAUAGAGAAAGAAAAUGAUGUUACUUAUCUUGAUAAAAUUGUGAGUGUAUGUUGUGGACUAACAAAUGUACCUGAUUCUGUGGUGCCCUUUGAGUGAUGAAUUUGUGCGUCAACAGAAAAUAAACCUUUUUGAUUCGCUUCUCA
Molecule: long non-coding RNA, 1715 nt
Organism: Eleginops maclovinus (Patagonian blennie)
Lineage: Eukaryota; Metazoa; Chordata; Actinopteri; Perciformes; Eleginopidae
Exons: 3
Source: RefSeq, a predicted model, not a curated record